UACGAAGGGGGCUAGCGUUAAUCGGAAUUACUGGGCGUAAAGCGUGCGCAGGCGGCUUUGCAAGACAGAUGUGAAAUCCCCGGGCUCAACCUGGGAACUGCAUUUGUGACUGCAAGGCUAGAGUACGGCAGAGGGGGAUGGAAUUCCGCGUGUAGCAGUGAAAUGCGUAGAUAUGCGGGGGAACACCAAUGGCGAAGGCAAUCCCCUGGGCCUGUACUGACGCUCAUGCACGAAAGCGUGGGGAGCAAACAGG
This 253-nucleotide ribosomal RNA is filed under the name uncultured bacterium. Its description in RNAcentral is "partial 16S ribosomal RNA". It matches the Rfam family "Bacterial small subunit ribosomal RNA", at positions 524 to 776 of the family's 1533-position model. The record is from RNAcentral.